CCGGGACCUGGUCUCCUGGUUGUGUAUGUGGGGGGUCCUCCGGGGGAGGGGAGAAGAGGUGAAGCCACAGCUCCUCAACUUUCUUCCCUGGGGACAUGGACCUGUUCUAGAUAUUUCGGGGACCUCAGAUUAUUCUCUGUAGGAGAAAGACCCACUUCAGUGUUAAUAGCUGAGGUGUAUUGAGCCUUUCUUAUGUACCAGGUACUCUUCCAAGCGCUUUUCAUGUGUAAUAAGUCCUCCACAUACGGACCUUCAAGUUGCGAACUUUCAAACUUACAAACAUCCAUGUUCACGUGUGAGUCUCCCCUAUCGCUGAUGACCCUUCAGCGCCGCCGUCUCCUACCUCUCCCCGCCCCAGUAACUCUUCUUGCCUGCUCCCUCGAUGCCAGCCCCUGUGUGCCAGCUGCUGUACUGCAUGAUUGUACUUUUCAGGAUACUGUAUUGGAAGAUUAAGCGUUUCCUUUAUUUUGCGUGUGUGUUUUUAAUGUAUUAUUUGGGUGAAAAGUAUUAUAAACCUAUUACAGUACUAUAUAGCUGUUUGUGUGAGAUGGGUACCUAGUCUCAAUUUGUUGGACUUAUGAACAAACUGGACUUACUAACAUGCUCUCCGAACUUGUUCACAUGUAGGGGGUUUACUGUACUUUAAGGACUUUCCAUUUACUUUAUUCCUCACACAGACCCAUCUGAUAGAUGAGGAAGAACAGGCCCAGAGAGCUGAAGAGACUUGUCCGUGUGCACAUACCUAGGAAAUGGCAAGACAUUCAGAUCUACUUCUCAACCACUCGGCUACAAAGCCUCCUUUCAUUGCAAAGAGAAAGGGGAGAAGGGCGAGGGAGGGAGAUCGUGCACACGAUUCCUGACUGUAUCGCUAUUCGUAUAUAUGAGUUCAGCACCUGCCCUUCACCCUGCCUUUCCUUGGUCACCAUCAUUAUCAUCAUCUUGGUCAUUGGAAGUCCUUAUCAUGACCAUGUGGACCUCUCUAAUUUUAUCUCCUGGCUUCCUGCUCACUUGCUCCAGCCAUACAUGCCUUUUUGCUGGCACAUUCUUGCUUCAGGGCCUUUGCACUUGCUUUCCUAUUGUCUGAACAUUUCUCUCCUGAUAUCCACCUGCCUCCCUCUUUUACUCAUUUAAAUCCCUCCUCAAAUGUCACUUUACAGAGAUAUUAACUUUGGAUAAAAUAGCAUUCCCCAUCACCAUCUCUUUGCCUUACCCUGCUUAAUUUUUCUUCAUAGCACUCAUGACCACCUGAAAAGCAAUGUUAUUUUUUAUUGAUGUAUUUGUUGCCUGUCUCCUUAAGAGAAUAUAAACUCCUUUAAGGAAGGGGCUUUGUUUUGUCCAUCUCUGUAUCCCCAGUGUCUACCAGGGGUUCUGCUGUGUGCUUGUUAAUUGAAGGAAUAGAUAUUAACUUAUUAAGCCCUAGAAGGUAGCUACUCUUAAUUUAGAGGGAAACAGAGGCACAGAGAAAUUAAGUAACUUGCUGAAAUUCACAGAAGUGAUCAGUGAUUUAGCUGGUUUACAAACCCAGGCAAUCUCAGUGCAGAACCCUCAUUUUUACUGCCUUUGUCUCCUGAUUUCCUGUUUGCAUCUGACUUAUGGGGGUGGGCUGACCCCAAGGUGCUUGCUCUUGCUGACAAGUCAGGUGCUGGCUGAAUGGGCUGCAAAGGGCAGAAGUUCCCAUGGACCCUGCUCCUGUGUCUCCCAUAGCCUUUGCAGGAGGAGGGGACUUGGGAUCUACACGGCUUGGGGUGAGGAACCCAGGACAAGCUGGAGGUGGACUGCUUUGCAGGGGUGAGGGGAGUUGUCACCAGCUCACUCUCUGGCUCACUAGCCUGGCCCUGCCCCCCACCCCCUUGAUUACAUGGGGAUGAAACAAUGUUUUCCUAAGAAAAGCCACACCAGAGUGGUGGAAUUGGGCCCAGGGCAAAUCACAAGGGGAUUUAAUUCAGAUUUCACCUGCUAAAGGAAACUUCCAAGGCUUUGCCCCUUCCCUUCUGUAGCAGAUGUUGCUAGUGUUUAUACAGAUCAGGUUUGCUUCUCUUUCCUGGACACAUGGGUUUCCCAGGUGGCCCUGGUGAUAAAGAACCUGGCUGACAAUGCAGGAGACGUAAGAGACGCAGGUUUGAUCCCUGGGUGGAGAAGAUCCCCGGAGAAGGGCAUGGCAACCCACUCCAGUAUUCUUGCCUGAAGAAUCCCAUGGACAGAGGAGCCUGGCAGGCUACAGUCCAUAGGGUUGCAAAGAGUCUGACACGACUGAGCAAUUCAUUUCCUUCCUUUCAAAUCACAAGGGGAUUAAUUCACAUUUCUCUUGUCAAAGGGAACCUUCCACGACUUUUACCCCUUCAAUCUGUAGCAGAUGUUACUAGUGUUUAUGGAGGAGAGGUUUGCCCCUCUUUCCUGGACACAUGGAAAACAACCCUUUCAGCCCCUCUAUCCCACAUGAUAGUUCUUGCCAAUGAAAUAUGAUUGGAGGUGAUGUCUAUCACUUCUGAGCCAAGGCACUGAAGAACCUGGAUACUUACUGUUCCAAUUCUGGAGCAACGGUGGAGGCCAGGUAUUUCAAAUGGUGCAGCUAUAGGAUGGUGUCCGUCAGCCUGGGGCCCUGAAUUUCACUGUGCAAGCAGAGACACCCCUUCUGCUGAUCCUGACUAAGCCUGCAGUGUGGGCCACCAGUAAAUCUUAGUUGUGUUAUGCCAUGGAGAUUUGGGGUUAAUUUGUUACGCAGCUUGGCUUAGCUUUUCCUGACUAAUGCACCAUUUUUGAUCUGUUUUGUACAUCUUCAAUAUUGUGGCCCAUAUCUCAUUUGCCACCAGUGGGAAUGUAAAUUAAUACAACUUUUCUGGAAGACAAUUUGGCAGAGUGUAUAUAUGAAAAGCCCUAAAUAAGUGUAUUGUCUUUGACUCAGAAAUUUCACUUCUAGGAAUUUAUCCUAAGGAAAUAAUUGGACAAGUUCAGAAAGUUGUAUGGAUAAAGAGGAUAUUCAUCACACAAAAUGGUGAGAAAUUGGAUCAGCCUAAAUAUCCCACAACAGCAAAUUGGUUAAAUAAAUUGUGAUCCAGCUCUACA
Bos indicus x Bos taurus (hybrid cattle) is the source of this 3063-nucleotide long non-coding RNA. Lineage: Eukaryota; Metazoa; Chordata; Mammalia; Artiodactyla; Bovidae. The record is from Ensembl.